This 90-nucleotide microRNA precursor is filed under the name Anopheles darlingi. RNAcentral's name for it is "mir-276 microRNA precursor family". It matches the Rfam family "mir-276 microRNA precursor family". The record is from Rfam by way of RNAcentral. Lineage: Eukaryota; Metazoa; Arthropoda; Insecta; Diptera; Culicidae.
CUCCAGACAACCCACUAGCGAGGUAUAGAGUUCCUAUGUUCCUGUCGUACUUCAUAGGAACUUCAUACCGUGCUCUUGGCUUGAUCUGAA